RNAcentral lists this ribosomal RNA (441 nucleotides) under uncultured bacterium. Its description in RNAcentral is "bacterial SSU rRNA". It matches the Rfam family "Bacterial small subunit ribosomal RNA", at positions 355 to 787 of the family's 1533-position model. The record is from RNAcentral.
UGGGGAAUUUUGGACAAUGGGCGCAAGCCUGAUCCAGCAAUGCCGCGUGAGUGAAGAAGGCCUUCGGGUUGUAAAGCUCUUUUGUCAGGGAAGAAACGGUUGGGGCUAAUAUCCUCGGCUAAUGACGGUACCUGAAGAAUAAGCACCGGCUAACUACGUGCCAGCAGCCGCGGUAAUACGUAGGGUGCAAGCGUUAAUCGGAAUUACUGGGCGUAAAGCGUGCGCAGGCGGUUUUUGUAAGUCUGUCGUGAAAGCCCCGGGCUCAACCUGGGAAUUGCGAUGGAGACUGCAAGGCUUGAAUCUGGCAGAGGGGGGUAGAAUUCCACGUGUAGCAGUGAAAUGCGUAGAGAUGUGGAGGAACACCGAUGGCGAAGGCAGCCCCCUGGGUCAAGAUUGACGCUCAUGCACGAAAGCGUGGGGAGCAAACAGGAUUAGAUACCC